UGCUUCCUCCCGUACGAGUUUGGGCCGUGUCUCAGUCCCAAUGUGGCCGAUCAGUCUCUCAACUCGGCUAUGCAUCAUCGCCUUGGUAAGCCUUUACCUUACCAACUAGCUAAUGCACCGCGGGGCCAUCCCAUAGCGACAGCUUACGCCGCCUUUUAAAAGCUGAUCAUGCGAUCUGCUUUCUUAUCCGGUAUUAGCACCUGUUUCCAAGUGGUAUCCCAGACUAUGGGGCAGGUUCCCCACGUGUUACUCACCCAUCCGCCGCUCGCUUUCCUAACGUCAUUACCGAAGUAAAUCUGUUAGUUCCGCUCGCUCGACUUGCAUGUAUUAGGCACGCCGCCAGCGUUCGUCCUGAGAAUCACUAGUGAAG
RNAcentral lists this ribosomal RNA (370 nucleotides) under Lactobacillus crispatus. Its description in RNAcentral is "partial 16S ribosomal RNA". The record is from RNAcentral. Lineage: Bacteria; Bacillati; Bacillota; Bacilli; Lactobacillales; Lactobacillaceae.